UCUGCAGAGUGUGAAUUAGCUCUUAUAGAGGGCAGAAUUUUGUAUUAAAUCAUAUUUAAUCUUUCUCAUAUACAAAUGAUCUUCGAUACGCUAUUUCUAACUGAGCAGGAUAUGUGAUGGAUGUCUUUGAUUCUUAUCUCUCUUGGGAUAUGUGAAUCUGUAAGACAUAUUAAGCUGGUUCCAGCUGUUGUCUUAACCAUAUCAUAUCAAUACAAAACAAAUGAUCUUGCAGCUGGAAGCUCCUUUUGUUUGAACAUCUUCGCAUCUGAAUGCAGUUCCAUCUUUGUUCAAAACAGUCUCUAACUAAAAUUAACAUCGUUUCUUCUUUUGCUUAUUGAAAAUUUUCCAUAUUGCAGCAGUAUCCGGUCCUUAUGCUUAGCACAGUUGGAUGCCAUGGAGCAUAUAAAUCUCCAGGUGAUGGAUACCAUCUCUCUGCAGAAAGAUGCUGUAAUUUGCAGAAGACCCUUUCAUAGUAGACAUCAAAUUUGGCUGAGUUCUUCCCCCAACAAUGUCACGAGCUUAAACAUCCUCUAAGACUAAGAGUCUUUAAAACAAGAUGAUGAAUUCCCCAAUACCUAUUGAAAAUUCUUGAUGAAGAUGAAUGGCUACAGCAAUUUCACCGGAAUCUGUUUUGAAGCCCCAAGAAACCCCUUCAGUAAGGUCCCUGGUGGCAUAAAAUUUGUUUUCUUCCAAGAUAUCAACUAUAGCUUGUAGCAAGCAGUGCAGCAGGCUUGUAUUGGACACUACAAAUCUUCUCAGUAUCUUAUUCCAACCAGAAUUUGUUCUCCAGCAAUUGCCCAAACAAAUGUUGUUUAUUCAAUUAAAGUUUCAACUUCUUUACUCCAUUCUUUCGUUGCAUAUAUCAAUAGCUCCACCAAG
This 879-nucleotide unclassified non-coding RNA is filed under the name Hevea brasiliensis (rubber tree). The record is from RNAcentral. Lineage: Eukaryota; Viridiplantae; Streptophyta; Magnoliopsida; Malpighiales; Euphorbiaceae.